Long non-coding RNA from Heterocephalus glaber (naked mole-rat), 1828 nucleotides. The record is from Ensembl. Lineage: Eukaryota; Metazoa; Chordata; Mammalia; Rodentia; Bathyergidae.
CAGACUCGCUGCAGUGAGACGUAGAACACCUGAGGGUGAGCUGUUUGCCCGGAGAAGUGGCGUGGAGGGAGGAGCCAGGUGAGUCCUGCGUGACUCUAAUUGCCUGCGCCAGUGUCUGAGUGGACAAAGCGAAGAUGCGCCGGCUCGUGGGGCUCUGUGCCGAAGGAGACAUGGGCCGCCUGGCCUGCGGAUUUUAACCUGUUCUGGUCUCUCUACUUUCAUCUUCGUCACCCUUUUUUUAGGUUCGAACUCGCUUGUAGGCCGGUGCCUACGGUAAAGCAUGUUUGAGGCCCCAGCACCAGACCCCCCCACAGAAACCAAAUGAAGAACGGCUGCUUCAGGUUAUCACUAGGGGCGCAGGGACCUCCUCGGCCCCCGGCUGCCUCAGUGGUCUCCCUCCGUGACUGGAGCCCUCCUCGGCCAGGUCCUCCGCCCCACGGGACCCAGAGGCCAAGACAGCGGGCCCUGGGGUCGGAGGCAGCACAUGGUGCCCGCACGGGCAGGAACAUUCGGCAGGAGAUUUGGGAGCACAAUAGAUAGAUCGGCGGGCAGCUCCUAUGCACCCUUUGAGGUCCAGACUCCUCAGGCCGCCACCGACCUGCUUUCCAGAGCUCCGGGUCAGUGCAUUUUCCUCACUCGAUGAGGGGCACAGUUACGCGGGCGCUCUUCUUGCCCGGCUUUUCAGUCUGCGUGAUGAUUUUGAGAUUCACCCUAUGACGGUGUUGAGAUGCAUUCCUCCGCCACAUAGUAACUGGUGACUUUCGGGAAAUUGCUUAGCUUUUCUGCGCCUCGGAGAGUAAACAAUAAAUAAUUCCUACUUGCAUUGUUGGGAAGAUAAAACGAGUCAAUGUACGUAAAUAAAACAGCUCAGUUCCUGGCACUGACUUGGUGCUCGAUAAAUAGCAGUUAUUUCGAAUGCACUUUGGGUAGGAAUUCAGGACCAGGACGGCCAGUGGACAGGAAGAAGCCUGUUUACACUAAUUUGGCUCGCGGCUCACGUUUUGCUACUCGUUGAUCGUUUGUUAUGUGUCCCUUACGCCAGCCCGAUCAGGAGCUUGCUCCUCAUGAGGACCAGGGACGGAAGGGUGCCGCUGGAAAGCCCUGCCCGUUCGGAGUUACCCUGGUGGAAAAAACUAAGCCCCACCAGGCUGCUCGGAAAACGGAAAAGGUGCAUUUCUCCUUCACCCUCGCCGCCUUCAGGCCCAGCUGGCCGGGUUUGCACGAACGUGGAGGGACAGCUGCCUGCCUGGGGCUGGGGCUGGGCCAGAGGAGCUGGCGAGGUUCUGAGGAGCCGCUGGGGAGCCCUGGGCGUCUGCUGCGCACAGGGCCGCGGACCUGCGCGGCCCAGGCUGUGUCUGCCGCUGUCACCCGAUGCCGCCGAGAGGGAACUGCUUUUGCUGAGCUGAAGAAGAAAGGUCUGAGCGAAAAAGAACUCGCAAAGAGAACAGGACAGGAGCAGCGAGGAGGGAGGGCGAGAGGGCCUUGCGGAUUGCCACGGCUCCAGGUCCAGCUGGAAAACGCAAGGAAGCGCAAGGCCUUCGAGAAAUAGAAAAAAUUCCUUUGAAAUUAAGAGAGAGCCUGAAUAACCAAAACAUCUUGAACAAAAAGAUGGAAGCAUCAUACUACAUGAUUUCAAACUCUACCACAAAGCUACAGUAAUCGAAAAAGCUUGGUGCUAGCAUAAAAUAGACACAUAGCCCAGUGGAACAGAGCGGAGAGGCCGGGAAUACGCACACACAUUCCACCAACCGAAUUUUGACAAAGAUGAUGAGAGUGCGAGAUGAGGAAAGGAGCGGUGCUGAGAAGACUAGAUAGCCACAUGCAGAAG